This 117-nucleotide non-coding RNA is filed under the name Domibacillus antri. RNAcentral describes it as "TPP sequence". It matches the Rfam family "TPP riboswitch aptamer (THI element)". Rfam says of the family: Vitamin B(1) in its active form thiamin pyrophosphate (TPP) is an essential coenzyme that is synthesised by coupling of pyrimidine and thiazole moieties in bacteria. Lineage: Bacteria; Bacillati; Bacillota; Bacilli; Caryophanales; Bacillaceae. The record is from RNAcentral.
GAUAUCUGCUGGGGGUGUCCGUUAGCCGGACUGAGAGAAGAGCGCGCUUGUAAGGCUCUUUAACCCUUCGAACCUGAUCUGGUUGAUACCAGCGUAGGGAAGUAGGGAGAGACGGCU